This 103-nucleotide small nuclear RNA is filed under the name Moschus moschiferus (Siberian musk deer). Lineage: Eukaryota; Metazoa; Chordata; Mammalia; Artiodactyla; Moschidae. The record is from RNAcentral.
GUUACAAGUCAGCACAUAUACUAAAACUGGAAUGAUACAGAGAAGAUCAACAUGUCUCCUGCACAAGGCUGACACACAAAUUCAUGAAGCGGUCCAUACUUUU